RNAcentral lists this small nuclear RNA (162 nucleotides) under Linnemannia elongata AG-77. RNAcentral describes it as "Mortierella elongata AG-77 U1 spliceosomal RNA". It matches the Rfam family "U1 spliceosomal RNA". From Rfam's summary of the family: U1 is a small nuclear RNA (snRNA) component of the spliceosome (involved in pre-mRNA splicing). Its 5' end forms complementary base pairs with the 5' splice junction, thus defining the 5' donor site of an intron. The record is from Rfam by way of RNAcentral. Lineage: Eukaryota; Fungi; Mortierellomycota; Mortierellomycetes; Mortierellales; Mortierellaceae.
AUACUUACCUGGCUGGAUUCACCUCUGAUCAACAAGGGAGGGGAAUCUGGGAGGAGUGUCUGCAUUGCACAGCGCGGAUGUUCUUCCCAGUGAAUGUCCUUCGGGACAUCUCAACAGCUUAAUUUUUACAUCGGGUCUCGUGUCUCUUCGGGGAUGUGGGAC